GGANNCNUGUGGUUUAAUUCGAUGCAACGCGAAGAACCUUACCUACUCUUGACAUCCACAGAAUUCGGCAGAGAUACCUUAGUGCCUUCGGGAACUGUGAGACAGGUGCUGCAUGGCUGUCGUCAGCUCGUGUUGUGAAAUGUUGGGUUAAGUCCCGCAACGAGCGCAACCCUUAUCCUUUGUUGCCAGCGCGUNAUGGCGGGAACUCAAAGGAGACUGCCGGUGAUAAACCGGAGGAAGGUGGGGAUGACGUCAAGUCAUCAUGGCCCUUACGAGUAGGGCUACACACGUGCUACAAUGGCGUAUACAAAGAGAAGCGAACUCGCGAGAGCCAGCGGACCUCAUAAAGUACGUCGUAGUCCGGAUCGGAGUCUGCAACUCGACUCCGNGAAGUNGGAAUCG
RNAcentral lists this ribosomal RNA (402 nucleotides) under Serratia sp. AZTITEMP184. RNAcentral describes it as "bacterial SSU rRNA". It matches the Rfam family "Bacterial small subunit ribosomal RNA", at positions 934 to 1334 of the family's 1533-position model. The record is from RNAcentral. Lineage: Bacteria; Pseudomonadati; Pseudomonadota; Gammaproteobacteria; Enterobacterales; Yersiniaceae.